Molecule: ribosomal RNA, 838 nt
Filed under: uncultured bacterium
Lineage: Bacteria
Description: SSU rRNA
Rfam family: Bacterial small subunit ribosomal RNA
Source: RNAcentral
UGCAGUCGAACGGAGUUGAGGGGCUUGCUCCUCAAUUUAGUGGCGCACGGGUGAGUAACGCGUAGAUAAUCUGCCUGAUGAUCUGGGAUAACACUUCGAAAGGGGUGCUAAUACCGGAUAAGCCCACGGGAUCUUUGGAUUCUGCGGGAAAAGGGGGGGACCUUCGGGCCUUUUGUCAUCAGAUGAGUCUGCGUACCAUUAGCUAGUUGGUAGGGUAAUGGCCUACCAAGGCUACGAUGGUUAGCUGGUUUGAGAGAAUGAUCAGCCACACUGGAACUGAGACACGGUCCAGACUCCUACGGGAGGCAGCAGUGGGGAAUUUUGCGCAAUGGGCGAAAGCCUGACGCAGCAACGCCGCGUGAGUGAUGAAGGCUUUCGGGUCGUAAAGCUCUGUCGAGGGGAAAGAAGUGUACGGAGGUUAAUACCCUCUGUACUUGACGGUACCCCUAAAGGAAGCACCGGCUAACUCCGUGCCAGCAGCCGCGGUAAUACGGGGGGUGCAAGCGUUGUUCGGAAUUAUUGGGCGUAAAGAGCGUGUAGGCGGUUUGUUAAGUCUGUUGUGAAAGCCCUGGGCUCAACCCAGGAAGUGCACUGGAUACUGGCAGACUUGAAUACGGGAGAGGGUAGUGGAAUUCCUAGUGUAGGAGUGAAAUCCGUAGAUAUUAGGAGGAACACCGGUGGCGAAGGCGGCUACCUGGACCGAUAUUGACGCUGAGACGCGAAAGCGUGGGUAGCAAACAGGAUUAGAUACCCUGGUAGUCCACGCCGUAAACGAUGAGAACUAGGUGUUGCGGGUAUUGACCCCUGCAGUGCCGCAGCUAACGCAUUAAGUCUCCGC